GUAGGGGGCAAGCGUUGUCCGGAUUUAUUGGGCGUAAAGAGCGUGUAGGCGGCCUGAAAGGUCAGCUGUGAAAACUCGAGGCUCAACCUCGAGACGUCGGUUGAAACCAUCUGGCUAGAGUCCGGAAGAGGAGUGUGGAAUUCCCGGUGUAGCGGUGAAAUGCGCAGAUAUCGGGAAGAACACCCGUGGCGAAGGCGGCACUCUGGGACGGUACUGACGCUGAGACGCGAAAGCGUGGGGAGCGAACAGGAUUAGAUACCCUGGUAGUCCACGCCGUAAACGAUGGGUGCUAGGUGUGGGGGGUGUCGACUCCCUCCGUGCCGAAGCUAACGCAUUAAGCACCCCGCCUGGGGAGUACGGCCGCAAGGCUA
This 371-nucleotide ribosomal RNA is filed under the name uncultured bacterium. Its description in RNAcentral is "bacterial SSU rRNA". It matches the Rfam family "Bacterial small subunit ribosomal RNA", at positions 527 to 896 of the family's 1533-position model. The record is from RNAcentral.